RNAcentral lists this ribosomal RNA (253 nucleotides) under uncultured bacterium. Its description in RNAcentral is "partial 16S ribosomal RNA". It matches the Rfam family "Bacterial small subunit ribosomal RNA", at positions 524 to 776 of the family's 1533-position model. The record is from RNAcentral.
GACGUAGGGCGCGAGCGUUGUCCGGAUUUAUUGGGCGUAAAGAGCUCGUAGGCGGCUUGUCGCGUCGUUCGUGAAAACCCGGGGCUCAACUCCGGGCUUGCGGGCGAUACGGGCAGGCUAGAGUUCGGUAGGGGAGACUGGAAUUCCUGGUGUAGCGGUGAAAUGCGUAGAUAUCGAGAGGAACACCAGUGGCGAAGGCGAGUCCCUGGACAACUCCUGACACUGAGGCACGAAAGCUAGGGGAGCAAACAGG